UUUAUGCAGCUUCCAAAACAGAGCUUGAGUUGAUGUCAAAGUCCAGGUUUCCUAGUGGUAGAACCAGCUGUUGAGAAAACUUAAUACUUGUCUCUAAUUCUGUCAUUAAACAACCUCCAGGAGACUCCCAAUAUGGCUCAGUGGUAACGAACCUAACUAGUAUCCAUAAGGCUGUGGGUUCAAUCCCUGGUGGAUCUGGCAUUGCCGUGAGCUGUGGUGUAGGUUGCAGAUGUGGCUCAGAUCCUGCAUUGCUAUAGCUGUGGCACAGGCCUGCAGCUGCAGCUCUGAUUUAACCCUUAGUCUGGGAGCCUCCAUAUGCCAGAUGUGCAGCCUUAAAAAGCAAAAGCAAAACAAAACAAAGCAACUUCCAGGUACUCAUGAGAAUGUCAUUGUUAACAGCAUAAUGAUCCCGUUAUAUUUUUCAAAAAAUAUUUUGAUUGUUUAAAGAAUUGACACAGGCAAGAUAGCACAUAUGUGUGAGAGUUAAAUUGUAGCAUAUGAUGGAUCAAGUUAGAGAGAGAGAGAGAGAGAUGCAGUAUAUAAAUAUAUACAGAUAUAUAUACAUGGAGAGAGAGAAAGCACUGACAAGUAAGGGGAGGAUACAAAACUUUACAGAGAAGUUAACAUACAUUUUAAAAAUUCAAAGAAAUUUGCUGUUAUUAUAAUAUUUGUGCCAAUUAGUAAAGAGGCCUUUUUAAAUGAAAUGAAUUAAAACACAUACACAUACAAAGAAUAGAGUUGAUGGGGAGUUGGUGUUGAUGGUGAUGGUGCUAUUUUCUCGAGUUCUUUCCUCGUGUUUUCCAAGAGUAAGGAUAUAUUGUAAUGUUGACGCAAAUAUCCACUCUCAUUAUAUACCUAACUAUAUAUUUCUCCAGUGCGUAUGGAGGAAUCGGACUGUCAGACUUUUUUUUUUUUUUUUUUUUUGGUCUUUUUAAGGUUGCACCCGCAGCAUAUGGAAGUUCGCAGGCUAGGGGUCAAGUUGGAGCUGCAGCUGUGGGCCUACGCCACAGCCACAGCAAAACCAGAUCUGGGAUGCAUCUAUGACCUACACCAUAGCUCAUGCCAGAUGCUAAACCCACUGAGAGAGGCCAGGGAUCAAACCCUCAUCCUCAUGGAUACUAGUUGGGUUCAUUACUACUGAGCCACGAUGGGAACUCCCCAGACUAUCAGACUUUAAGGUAACUAAACAUUAACAUCACAUUACUUAUUAGGCCAAAUCUCUUUGUCUUAUCUAAUUAUCUUGAACAGAGCUUCGGUGAGCAUGUGGGUGCAUGUGUCUUUUUUAAGGAAAGUUUUGUACGGAUAUAUGCCCAAGGGUUGGAUUGUUGAAUCAUAUAAUAGUUCUAUGAAUAGGUUUCUAAGGUACCUCCACACUGUUCUCCAUAGUGGUUGUACCUGCUUACAUUCCCACCAACGGUGCAGGAGGCUUCCCUUUUCUCCACACCCCCUGGAUCGAGAGCUUGGGGUUAAUGGAUGCAAACUAUUGCUUUUGGAAUGGAUUAACAAUGAGCUCCUGCUGUGUAGCACUGAGAACUAUGUCUAGAUACUUACAGUGGAGCACAACAAUGGGAGAAAAAAUGAUAUACAUGUAUGUGUAACUGGGUCCCCAUGCUGUAUAGUGGAAAAAAAAAUUUUGUGUGGGGGAAAUAACAAUAAAAAAUAAAUUUAAAAAAGUAAUUUAAUUAUCUGACUUUUCAUAGCUUUUCUUAAAUAAGAAGCUCAAAAUGGCUCUGCUGAUGAAAAUCUUACUCACUUGACAGUUGUGUUUCUCCCUGUACCUUAAUAAAUUCAGAUUCUGAUAAAUAUAUAUAACUCUUUUAGGUUUAACUAGGUUCAUUCAACAUUCAUGAGAGGAUCAAGCCAGUGUAUCUGUCCUCAAAGAUUGAGAGCCCAAACGUAGGCCAAGGAAACUUUAUUUAUGAAAUAAACUCUAUGAAGUUAGUUUGUGGGCAGUUAGUAGUCUCUAUUGUGGUGACGGCUGGUAUUCACUAGGCACCAGUCCCAUCAUUCCGCCCUCCAAAAAUCUAUUUAAUUACUAAAAGCUUUGUGUGUACAGCUUGUAUUUAUUUCCACUUGACAAUUUAGAGCAAAAUUAGGUAAGUGCACUCUGUUUUAGGUAAAGGAAAGUCUACUCAAGGGUUUAAAGAACUAGUUAUAACAAAAUGAUGAAUCUGAAUACUAAAUAAAAUAAAUCCCCCAGAAAGUAAUCAGAAGAAAUUUUUUUAAUGAACUUGGGUUCUUGCAUCUUCUCCUCCUUGGGAAGCUCUAAAAUCAUUAACUGGGAUCUCUGUUCCUCAUGACUGUCAGUAACCUUCUACAGAGCUGUCUACUUGAGUGCAUGUACUCCUUCCCCAAAAUCGUGCACACACUGAUUCCUCUCCCCUCUUCGGAGCAGUUCCUCAGAGCCAUCUGAGAGGCUGUCUCCUGGGCUAGAGGCCUCAAAGAAACUGAAACUCACAGCUCUUACAUUGUGCAUUUUUAUUAUAGUCGACAAUGUUUAUUCAGGUAUCUCUUCUUGAGGACCCCAAUUAAGGAAAGGCUGUGAUUAGUUUAAUUAAUAUCUCUAUGAUGUGUUUUCAUCAUGCUUGAGAUAUUCUGAAAUUUCUAGUGGAAUUAUUCCCAGAAAAAUGUAAAAAUGAAAAUAUACUUAAAAUAAUGAGUUCAAAUAGACUUCAUAAGAAAGUGUGAAAACUGAAAGAGGAAAAGGUGGGGCUGACGCUGGGAGGUGGACACAGAAAAAUUGUCUCAUUAUUCGCAAGAAUAGUCCAGAGAAUCCAGAGGAAAAAAGAAACAAAAUAAAUGAGGAAUUUGGGAUUAAUGUAUGAACGUUAUUAUAUAUAAACUGGUAAACAACAAGGACCUACUGUAUAGCACAGGGAAUUCCACUGAAUGUCUUACAAUAAUUGGUAAUGGAAAAUAAUCUAAAAAAGUUAUAUACACAUUUAUAUGUAUAAUUGAAUCACUUUGCUCUACCCAAAAUGAACCCAACAUUGUAAAUUAACUGUAUGUCAACUAAAACAAAAGGGAAUUCAAAGUUUAUCUGCAGUUCUGGAGUCAGAUGGAACAUAAAUGUUUUUUAAAAAAGAGAGUCAUUCUGAGAUGUUUUAGCAUCAUAAAUAGAAACUGUGAAAAAAUUGUUGAGGAAAAGAAAAAUAAUUAAGAUUAAAAAAAUAAUAAUUAGUGUGGCUUCUUCACUGAAUGAGGAUUCCUCAAAAGCACAAGGACAGACUUAUUUGAAGAUUGGAUUAGCUCAUUGGAAAGAUUUAAAAGCUCAAAAUUCUAGAAUUGCACCUCAAAUGAGUGCAAAGAUAUACAAAAAUGAUUGAAGAUUAAGAAAAAAGAUACAAAGCAAAUGGUAAUAGGAAGGAAAUGAGCCAUAAAUCCUUCAAAUGCCUGUCUGCAAGUACCAGGCGGAGAGAAAUGUGGUUGUUGUGAUGCCACUGGGAGAAAAUGGUGAUUUAGGACAAUGUUAGAGACAAAAUAUGGUGUAUUACAAUUUAUUCAGCCAAAUGUUAAUAUUGGUGGGUAUACUUGUUAUCACUGAUAAAAUAUAAGACCAGGUGGAACUAUAUAUCAGAACUUUAAAGUAAACAAUCUAAGACAUCUGCAUCGCCUGAAGCAUCAAUAAUCAUGCUUCUAGGAAGACUAUUAGUAUAAAUUCUAUGGCUGCCCUCAAGUCAUGGAAAUUCUUUUUAUUUCAGAUGAUAGGCAGAUUUAUAGCUCACUAUUCAAAGAGCUUAUCAGCACAAGCCUAAUUACUAUUUCUUUGACUUCUUUGGCACAUUAGGACAUAUGAUAUAAAAGAAUGAGGGUGAAAUGGCAGAGGCAUUUUUUGAAAGUGACCCUAAAAAUCCCUAGUGGUUAAGAGCAAGAAAACAUGUAAACAUUAAAAAAAUAUACCUGUAAGAUAUGUAAAAAUUGUUAAUAUAGAGUAGAUGAAAGUUGGAAAACUGACUUCACAUUCUGUAAUGACUAAGAAGAGCGUCCUUUUGUCCUUAGAGAAAUUUAAUUACUGAGUAUCUCCCGAGGAACAGUCUUUUGUCCUCUCCAUGAGCUUUAACACUUAAACUUCUUUUACUUUUUCCGAACAUGUGUGUAUUAACAUAUGUUUCUGUAUGCGUGCAUCCUGCCUUCAUAUAUAAAACCCAUUGUUGGCUUUUAUAUUGAACUUACAGAACUAAGAAAUGUGAAGAGCUUUUCUUGAGACUAAAUUUGUUUAGGUAUUCCCCUAGCCAGUGAAAAUAGCAAUGAAACUACCUAGAUUUUAUAGCCCUAGAUUUUUGAUGGCAACCGAGCUACCUAUAAUUUUAUGGUUCAGAUUCAUCGUGAUGUUCCUAUAAAGGAAGUUUAUUAAAUACAUAACCCAGUGGGGUUUAAAAUACCUGUACAUUCAUACAUCAUUCUAAAGGUUUUCUUGCUGGGAUUGCAGGUGGUCAAACCCUGGAUGGAGGCUUAGUUCUUUUAUAAAGUCUCAGCUCCCAGAUGUCUAGAAAUAUAAGUGGUCUGUCCAUGAAGUUGAUUUUAUAAAUUGAUCCUCCGAAAAAAAUAAAACAUUUGAUUAUUUGUUCAACAUCACAGUCAUUGCAGACCAAAAUAAUGUAGAUGCCCCUUUGAAAAGAUAUGUUUAACAUUGCUUUGCAAAUCGUAUCAAGAUUAAUUUUAUAUCUAAUCGUGAGCCGUGUAAUGAUUCAGUGAAUAGCUUUUAAGUGUUAUAUAUGAGACAGGCCCUCUUCCAGAUGUUGUUGGUUCAAAUGAUGCAGAAGACAUCAUUCUUACUGUAGGGAGCUCAUCAUUGAACUGAAAUACGUGUAUAAACAAUCAUCGCAGUCCCCUCUGGUGCCUGCUGCAGUGAAGGAAUCUGAAGAAUGCCAGAGAGCACAUGGUUGAAUGUAUUCUGUGUGGCAUGAGGGGUGAGAACAUGUGAGAGUGUAUCACAGAAAAGGAAUACUUCAACUAGAUGGAUAAAGGAGGGAGCUUAACAGAGAAUCAGAGGAUGAGGGAGGGCUUCAGGGACCAAAUGAGCCACAUAUUCAUUAUGGCGCUUGGCUAUCACAUGGAAGGUGUGAGAGACCCAAAUGUAUUUUGUGAUUCACUGAUUUUGCAGGAGUGUGAGAUUGCAGAUCCAUUCAGGGGCUGGAUUCCCACGGACCUUCCAUACCGUUUUAAAGGAUUUGGACCCAUUAGAUUUGGGGAUGAGGGCACAGUGUUUUAGGUACGUGAGUGUUAGGAGGAGAUUCAAGGGUUUUAGCACAAGUGUGACCAGUCAUAGUUACAUUUUUGAAGUAACUUUCCAGCAACAAUUUGGAGGACUAACUAGAAGGUUUGAAUUGUAGGCAAGAAGACAAAUUAGGAGACAGUUAGGAUAAUCGAAGCAGUUUGAGCCAAGGCUCUGAGAGUGGAAGGUAAAUCCAAGAGGAUAAAACCAGGACAUGUUUAAGGGAGUCUGUGAAUCUUGGUCCCUCAAUUAAAGUGAAAAUCAAGGGCCUUGAGUAUUUCCACCCUCUCUUUCUUCUAUAAAAACAAUUAAGAGGCCCAGGAUUUUAACAUGUAGACUGAGAAGGUGGAGGUCCACCAGCCAGAACAGAGAAAUAGGAGAAAGAACAUUUGAUGGCAUUUUGGGUAUUUUGCAGUUGAGAUGCCCAUGGUAUAUUUAAAGAUCCAGUGGCAGUUUCAUUUAUAGUCCAGUAUUUGAGGAGGAUGGCAGAGCAGAUAAACACUUGCAGGAACCUUGCACAUGCUGCAGCUGGCUGUGCGGAAGUGUGUUAUCUUCAACGUGUUUAUAGCUCCCUCAUCGUACCCUCUUCUUGUGUUUUCUACCGAACACUGUCUAAAUUAGUCUUUUUUAUUUACCUUCCGAACACUUCUCAAAUUAAGCCUUUAGUGUCUGGCUCUACUACCAAAGUCUUUGUUCAGGCUCUUCAACCAUCUAGGUUUAAAUUUUAUGAUGAUCUAAUUAUAGUAGUUCAGCAGAAAUAAGGUUUUAUGCUCCAAUUUGUCAUCCAUGACUAUUGACUACAUGAUAGGGGCAGCAAAUAAUAAGAGAAUUUGACAAAGGUGACUGAGAAGAAUAAGUAAGAAAUAUGUGAGUUACUAAAAACUCGACAAAGUGAGAAUAAUAAUAGCUGUCUUAUAUACUUCAUGAAAGUUAGAAAAUUGAUGCAUUUUACAAGUGCGUAAAAUACACUGCAUGAAUAAAUUAUUAUUGGUACAUUUGCAAAAUGAAUAUCAUGGUUAAUGCUCCUCCUGGGCAUGAAAGUUAGGUUGACUUCCUGCCUUCAUUCUGAAGCUUUCUUCUGUUGGGAUUUCACUUAGCCAGAGGGCUAGUGGCACAGACCUGACACGCAGGGGCUUGAUGGUCUAUCCUGGAGGAAUCUGUGCCCAUCCCCAGCCUCUUUGGUACUGCCCAGAGCGUUAAUUUCAUGAGCUUUAGGCCUUGUGGAACAAUGUGAUUUUAACUGGGUUAAGAUGCCCAACAAAAUGCACGUAAAUUAUAUUUUUUAUGUUUACAUAUACACAAGGGCAUAUUUAUUUCAUAAUCCCAAUGUCAGCAUUUUAUAUUACUCCACAGGGCAGCAAAGCCACAAUAGUUACGGUCAUGGGGGUAAGGAUUAUACUAGGUCUAAGGUACAAAUGAAAAUAAAGCAUCUUCAAAUUAAAAAGGGCAAGUUACAAAUUAAGACCAUUAUGUUUUAUUAGGUUAAAACCCUAAUUUAUAGAGAAAAUAUUGAUAUUUUAAUCUCGAUUUAAUACAAUUUUCUCAGCUUUAUUUUUGUUAGUAAGGUUAAAGAAAAGGUCAUUUUACUCUAAAAAUUUUAAUAGGAGUUCCAGUUGUGGCUCAGUAGGUUAUGAACCUGACUAGUAUCAAUGAGUAUGUGGGUUCGGUCCCUGGCCUUGCUCAGUGGGUUAAGGAUCUGGUGUUACUGUGAGCUGUGGCGUAGACUGGCAGCUGCAGCUCUGAUUCGACCCUUAGCCUGGGAGCUUCCAUAUGCUGCAGCUGUGGCC
Molecule: long non-coding RNA, 7002 nt
Filed under: Sus scrofa (pig)
Lineage: Eukaryota; Metazoa; Chordata; Mammalia; Artiodactyla; Suidae
Description: lncRNA (ENSSSCG00000061622.1)
Source: RNAcentral